GCUCCUGAGCCGUUUUCGAUGAUGGAGUUUCUGAAUCGACGAUCGACUCCGUUAAACUUGAUCUAGUAUAUUUGAAGCUUUUAGGAAAUAAUUUUUGCGAUUUUUCGAUAUCAUUUACCUACCAAUCGAAAUGAUUCAAAAUCAAUAAUUUUUAACGGCUGAAAAUAAAAAUCCUAUAAAAAGUGGUGAUAUAGCACUAAAAUUUUCGAUCCGAAAUAUUGAUCUUGUUGUAGAUAGUAUAAAGAAUUUUGUAUCAAAAUUUCAUCUGAUUUGAAUACUUUUACACCGUUAAACUUGAAAACGGCAGAUAUCAACCAUUAAAAAUUAUGGUUUUGAAUCCUUUCGAUCACUAGGUAAAUGAUAUCAAAAAAUUGCAAAAAUUAUUUUCAAGAAGCUUCAAAUACGCUAGAUCAAGUUUAACAGAGCCGAUCGUCGAUUCGGAAACUCCAUCAUCGAAAAUGGCUCAGGAGCACGGAGGCCUCCGUGCUCCUGAGAGCACAGCAGCCCUGCUAUAUAUAUAUAUAUAUAUAUAUAUAUAUAUGUGUGUGUGUGUGUGUGUGUGUGUGUGUGAAUUUUGCUACUAUACUAUCGAUAGUACCAAACACUUGGUGCUAUCGAAUUUUCAACCGUUGGAUAAAAGGAUGUGCGGUUAUGAUGAUAGUGAUUAUCCGUUAGGAUGAUAGUGGUCUAUUAGUGUUGAGUGGGUAGUUGGUUGAAUAGUAUAAUCUAACAGGUGGAAAUGAUCAAAAGGUAGAUCGAACAGCAGAAAAUUCGAUAGUAACAAGAACUUGGUACUACUGAUAGUAUAAUACCCGGACUCUAUAUAUAUAUAUAUAUAUAUAUAGCAUUAUUAUUAUUAUUAUUAUUAUUUUGAGAGAUAGGUAACACGCUACCCGUUUCGUUUAUUUCAUUUAGAAAUAAACUUAGCAAGAAAUGUGAAUCAAUUAGGAUUCGAACUUGGAUCUCGGAUACCAACCACUAAGCCCUUUCUCACUUGCUGUAGGGACGGUCGGUUAUUAUCAUUAUUAUUAUUUGAACCAGAGAUCACCCAC
Molecule: long non-coding RNA, 1052 nt
Filed under: Ananas comosus (pineapple)
Lineage: Eukaryota; Viridiplantae; Streptophyta; Magnoliopsida; Poales; Bromeliaceae
Description: long non-coding RNA (ACOM_LNC012712)
Source: RNAcentral